CCAUAUAAUGCAGAGGACAUGGAAACAUAUCUACAAUACUCAUCUUAAGCCCAAAAUAAUGAGCCUUCAUUUAAAUGACAUGGAACAUAGAAGUAUUAUUAGGGUUAAUUUAAUGAAUGACCAAAUUUGAUAUCCUUAUUAAGAGAAUGACCUUCUCACAGAAAAGUUGGGUAUAUAACGUUUUUUUAGCAUGCGAAAUAUCCGAUAUAGCCUCUACGGAUGGGCGGUAAAACCAUAUUUCCGACAGCAGACUUGUAGAUGUAGGGGAGCUAGAGAUUGUACGCCAAUGAUUACAACGUAUCAAAAAAAAAAAUGCAUGCAUUACUUAUGCAGUUACUACUAAAUAAAGCAUGAACUAUUUAUGAGUGUAGAUCUCAAUUUAGAGCUUUCAUUACUACAACUUUCUAAGUUUGUACUGAACGUUUCAUAAAAUACAUGCAAUUUACAACUGUAACAGCAUGUGGUAUGAAAGGAUUUAUUUCAAUU
RNAcentral lists this small RNA (486 nucleotides) under Arabidopsis thaliana (thale cress). RNAcentral describes it as "ATSL029270". The record is from RNAcentral. Lineage: Eukaryota; Viridiplantae; Streptophyta; Magnoliopsida; Brassicales; Brassicaceae.